RNAcentral lists this ribosomal RNA (4616 nucleotides) under Aspergillus flavus. Its description in RNAcentral is "large subunit ribosomal RNA". The stretch from base 1 to 2522 matches the Rfam family "Bacterial large subunit ribosomal RNA". The record is from RNAcentral. Lineage: Eukaryota; Fungi; Ascomycota; Eurotiomycetes; Eurotiales; Aspergillaceae.
AACGAAGUGAAUUGAAAUAUCUUAGUAACUUUAGGAAAAGAAAUCAAACGAGAUUGUUAUUUGGUGCAAACUAAAUAACAAGAGCCUAUUAACAAAACUUGUUAAAGUAAAAUGGAUUAAAAUCUGUUUGAAUAUAGGGGAACCUUCCUCUAAGGCUAAAUAUGAUAUAUAAGCGAUAGUGAAAAGUACCGUGAGGUAAAAUUUGAAAUAGUAGUUUUAUAAGCAGCUCGAGUGAAAAUUUAAAUAAGUAAUAAGAGUGUACCUUUUGCAUAAUGGGUCAGCAAGUUAAUUUUAGAUGCAAGCAAUGAUUUCGUGCGCUUUGCGCAUGGAACUAGCUUAGAUAAACCAAUUAUGAGAAAAUGAAUAAGUAUCUAGAAUUAGACCCGAAGGCUAGUGAUCUUACCAUGGUCAGGAUUAUAAAAGUCCGAACGGGUUAUCGUUGUAUAGAUAUCCGAAGAAUUGUGGUAAGUUAGUGAAAGACAAAACUGACUAGUAUAGCUGGUUUUCCGCGAAACCUAUAUGAGUAGGUAAUUUAACUAACAUCUUAGCAGGUACAGAACUGUGAUCUCGGACAAUAUCUUUUGAUUUUGUCAACAUCGGGGGGUUGUAGUGACUUUACCGGAGAGUAUUUGCACUCGGAAUGGCAAAGAUGAAUGUUGAAUAAUCGGACAUAGUGCGAUAAGGUUGUAUGUCUAAAGGGAAACAGCCCAGAACAAGAGUUAAGGUUCCAAAAUUAUUGUUGAGUGAAAUUAAGGAUGUUUUUUUUAAAAACAAUCAGGAAAUAGGCUUAGAAGCGGCCAUUUUUUGAAGACCUCGUAACAGAGCACUGAUUAAUUAAAUUUAGAAAAAAACACCGAAAAUUUAACGGAUCUAAACAAUAUACCGAAACCUUGUACACAUAUUUAUAAUAUUAAUAUUGUAUAUGUGGGGUAGCGGAACAUUGGAUAAAUAUUAAUUAUUAUUUCUUCUAAGAAGUAAUAAGUAUGGAUUAUUAUUAAAAAUAUUUAUUUAUUAAAGAUAUUUAUGUAAUAUUAUUAUACCUAAAAGGUAUAAUGUUUAGAUGAAUAUAUAGAUAGAUUAUAUCUGUCUUUAUUAUUAAUAUAAUCCAUCGAUAUAAUCCAAGAGAGAAUGCUGACAUGAGUAACGAAAAAGGAAUAUCCUCGCCUUAAGCUUAUGGUAUUAUAUUUAAUUUUCGGUAUCUAAAAGUAUUAAUCAAAAGGUAAUUUUGAUGAUAUUUAUAUAUAAAUACUUAAAAAUAAAAAACAAAACCUUUAACAAGUAAUAAAGGUUCUGGAAAAUUUUUUAUUUUUAUUAAGUGAAGUAUAAUGCAAUAUAGGUAUAUUAUAAUUUAUAUAAUUUUCUUGUUACAAGUUUUCAAGAUUGUAUAGAUUUUAUCUAUAUUAAAUAUAUUUUCUUUUUUAUACUAUUGUAUAAGUAAGGUUUAUAUAUACCGUACCUAGAUACUAUCACAAGUAAGCAAGUAGAGAAUACAAAGGCGUUUGAGUGAACAAUCAUUAAGGAACUCGGCAAAUUGACUACCGUAACUUCGGGAUAAGGAGGGCCAUUAUGAUUAGUUUAACAUAUCUUAUGAUAUGAUUUAAUUAAACUAAUCAUAAGAGGAAACAUGAAAUAAUGUUGUACGACUGUUUAAUAAAAACACAGCACUCUGCAAAGAUAAAAUAUCAAAGUAUUGAGUGUGAUGUCUGCCCAAUGUCGGCUGGGUAACGGAUUUACCUUGGUUUUUAACUGAGGUUUUGAAGGAUACCCCGAUUAAUGGCGGCCUUACCUAUGAGGGUCCUAAGGUAGCGAAAUACCUUGGCCGUUAAAUGCGGUCCUGCAUGAAUGACUUAACGAUACAACAGCUGUCUCGAUGAUUGUCUCAGUGAAAUUGGAAUAGCAGUGCAGAUACUGUUUACCUCUAGAUAGACGAGAAGACCCUAUGCAGCUUUACUGUUACUAAUUGCAAGAGUGGAAAUUUAGGAUGAUUUCGAGUGUAUAAGGUAGUUGUUUGAUAACAAUGAAACACCUUUAUUCGUUUCCUACUAUAUGCUCUUGAGGAUUGGGAGGCAGUUUAUGCGGGGCACAGAUCCCACAAAAAGUACCUGGGUAUAUCCAAAGUUCAUUUUGUAAAUUUGUAAAUUUCUUUACAAAUAUUUUAAUUUGUUAUAAUUAUAUUCAUAAUUAUACAGUUAUUGUUAGAUUAAGUUCAAUAUUUAUUUUUUAUUUAAGUAAGAUUUUAACUAUAUGGUGAAUAGAUGUAUUUUAAACUUUACCCGGGGAGGGAGUGAUCCAACUCCGGGAUAUUUAAAAGUUUUUUCUCAUAUUAAUAUUGUAUUUUAUCUUUAUUGAUAUGAUAAUUAAUUAUACUUUAAAAGUUUAAUGGCUAAAUCUUGCUUUACUGUUUGACCUACAAGUCUAUCAGUCGCGUAAGCGGGGCAUAUGAUCACAAGAUGCAUAAAGGAAAGGUCUUGGAUUAUAGAAAAAGUUACGCUAGGGAUUUAUAUCUGUGAGUCCUCCAAUAUUUAAAAAUAUUGGUAAUAUAUUGGGUAAAUUUCAAAGAUAACUUAUAAAUAAAUUAAGUGUAUUUGAAGCGAAACUUAUUUUAGCAAAAGUAGCAGUAGUUCUGCGCUUAAUUUUAGGAUUAAAUCCUAAGAUAAAAUAAGGACGUUCAACGACUAAAAGGUGAGUAUUGCUAACAAUAAUCCUUUUUUUAAUGCCCAACAUCUUUAUUAACUAAAAGAAAAAAAAUUGUAUAAUAAUUAUUAGUAAUAAUAAUGAAAUAGACUUGGUUUUAUACCAAGCUUAAAUAUUAUAUAAUUAAUUUGAUUAAUUAUAUUAAUAUUAUAAUUAAAUAUAAAUAUGCUAAAUAUUAUAAAAUCAAAAUUAAAAAAUACAUAUAAGAAAAAAUCAUUAAAUAGUGAAAAUGUUACUAUACGUAAUAAAGAUUUAGUUCCUGCUGUAAGAGAUUGAAAAAAUAGUAUUUAUGUUUACAACAAAAAUUCUUUAAGUUUGAUACCUGUUGCAAGCAGAUUAGUAAUGAAAUUAAUUAAAGGUUAUUUUAAUUCAUAUAAUUUAAAUAUAGAAUCUAAAUUAAGAAAAGAAAAAUUACGUCGUAGAUUAAGAAAAUUAUCUACAAAUAAAAUCUUUAUUAGUGAUGGUGAAUUUAAACAUACUAAUGAUAAUGUAAAUAUAACAUUAUAUGUAUAUAAUAGACAAAGACUUAAUUACUUAUUAAAAUUAAGAAAAAGAUAUCUAAGUUUAUUUAGAAAGGUUACAUUUGUAAGAAAAUUACAGUUAAUAAGAAAUGUAGGAUUGAAUAUCUUAAACAAACAACAAGAAAAAAGUAAAAUAUUAACAAAUGUUUUACCUAAUUAUAGUUCAAAAGUAUAUUCAGUACAAAAUCUUUAUUAUAGAAAUUUUAUAAAAAAAUCUCUUAAAAGAUUAAAAUACUACAUGUAUUAUAAACAAUUACUUUAUAUUAAUAAAGCUAAAUUUGAAAAUUCAUAUUUACAAGGUUUAAUAAAUUUAGUAAGAAAAAUAUAUAAAAAAAAUGUAGAAUUUAAUAUUAUUAAUUUAAAAUACUUUUAUUAUAAUAGUGAUAUUUUUACACAACCUUUAGUAUUAAAAUUAAGAAAAAAAAGAAAAUUAUUAAGAUAUCUUAAAGCUUUAGUUAGAAAAGCAAAAAUUAAAGAUAUUAAAUUAAAUGAAAGAUCAAAAUAUUUUUUUGAAUUAGAAAAUUUAUUUAAAUUAAAUAAUCUUGAUACUACAAAUAAUUUAUUAAAUAAAUUAAUAGAACAAAAUAAAACAAGUUCAAAAGAUCUUAAAAAAGUUGUAUUAAAUGAUAUAAAAUUUAAAAGAGUAUCAGGUGUUAGAUUAGAAGCUGCAGGUAGAUUAACUAGACGUUAUACAGCUUCAAGAUCUCAACACAAAGUUAGAUAUAGUGGUAAUUUAAUAAAUGCUUAUUCUUCUAUUAAAGGUUAUCCUUCAGCUGUAAUAAGAGGAAAUUAUAAACCUAAUAUACAAUAUACUAAAUUAAAUUCUAAAUCACGUAUUGGAUCUUUUGGUGUUAAAGGUUGAGUAAGUGGUGUUUAAUAAUUAAAUUUAAAUAUACCUAAAUUAGUUAAUAAAGAUGAUGAAAUAGUCUGAACCAUUUUGAGAAAAAUGGAAAUAAAAGGAAAAACCUUUUAUGAUAACAUAAAUUGAACAGGCUAAUUUGCGCAAGAGAGUACAAAUUGAGUGCGCGGUUUGGCACCUCGAUGUCGGCUUAGCUCAUCCACAUGAAUGCAAAAAUCAUGAAGGGUUCGACUGUUCGUCGAUUAAAGAGCUACAUGAGCUGGGUUUAAUACGUCGUGAGACAGUAUGGUUUCUAUCUUCUAGAGGGAAUUAAAGUAGAAUAAAGAUAGCCCCUUCGUACGAAAGGAGUUGGGUAUAUUGACCUAUGGUUUACCUGUUGUUUAUGUUAUAUAUUAUUAUACAUAAUAUAUCAUUUACUUAUACUUAAGUAAAUUGUUCACAUAGGCAUGGCAGGAAGGCUACGUCAGUUAAAGAUAAGUGCUGAAAGCAUUUAAGCGCGAAGCUUACUUUAGGAUACUUUUAAACGUAGUAGAACACUACGA